CCUACGGGUGGCAGCAGUGAGGAAUAUUGGUCAAUGGACGAGAGCCUGAACCAGCCAAGUAGCGUGAAGGAUGACUGCCCUACGGGUUGUAAACUUCUUUUAUAAAGGAAUAAAGUGAUGCACGUGUGCGUUUUUGUAUGUACCUUAUGAAUAAGGAUCGGCUAACUCCGUGCCAGCAGCCGCGGUAAUACGGAGGAUCCGAGCGUUAUCCGGAUUUAUUGGGUUUAAAGGGAGCGUAGAUGGGUUGUUAAGUCAGUUGUGAAAGUUUGCGGCUCAACCGUAAAAUUGCAGUUGAUACUGGCAGUCUUGAGUACAGUUGAGGUAGGCGGAAUUCGUGGUGUAGCGGUGAAAUGCUUAGAUAUCACGAAGAACUCCGAUUGCGAAGGCAGCUUACUAAACUGCAACUGACAUUGAGGCUCGAAAGUGUGGGUAUCAAACAGGAUUAGAUACCCGUGUAGUC
RNAcentral lists this ribosomal RNA (460 nucleotides) under uncultured bacterium. RNAcentral describes it as "partial 16S ribosomal RNA". It matches the Rfam family "Bacterial small subunit ribosomal RNA", at positions 338 to 795 of the family's 1533-position model. The record is from RNAcentral.